GAGGGCGCUGAGGACGGGGCGCUGGAGAAGCUGCGGGGCUGGAGCCGAUCCAUCGAGGACCUGCACCCCCCCGGGGCCCCCCCGGCUCCGUUCGGCAGCGGCUGGGCACGUUCGGCCCGACACGGAGCCCUGCGGUGCGUGCCCACCCUGCGCCGUCCUUGGUCACGCGUGCCCUGGGUGCCAUGUGCUGUGCGUGCCACGUGUCACUCUGUCCUGUGUGUGCCAUCCUGUGCCACGUGUGCCAUGCCAUGCACGGUCCUGCGCCAUGUGUGCCAUGUGCUCUGUGUGCGACGUGUCACUCUGUGCCAUGUUCUCUGUGCCAUGUGCCAUCCUGUGCCAUCCUGUGCCAUGCCAUGCACUGUCCUGUGCCGUGUGUGCCAUCCUGUGCCACGUGUGCCACGCUGUGCAUCAUCCUGUGCCACGUGUGCCAUGCCAUGCACUGCCCUGUGCCGUGUGUGCCAUGCUGUGUGCUGUCCCGUGUGCCAUUCUGUGCCAUGCGUGCCAUGCCAUGCACUGUCCUGUGCCGUGUGCGCCAUGUGCUCUGUGUGCCAUGUGUCACUCUGUGCCAUGUGCUCUGUGUGCCAUGCACUGUCCUGUGCCAUGUGUGCCAUGUGUUCUGUGUGCCGUGUGUCACUCUGUGCUGUGCGCUCUGUGCCAUGUGUGCCAUCCUGUGCCAUCCUGUGCCAUGCCAUGCCCUGUUCUGUGCCACGUGUGCCAUCCUGUGCCAUGUGUGCCAUGUGUCACUCUGUGCCGUGUUCUCUGUGCCAUGCGUGCCAUGCCAUGCCCUGUUCUGUGCCAUGUGUGCCAUCCUGUGCCACGUGUGCCAUGCCGUGCACUGUCCUGCACCAUGUGUGCCAUGUGCUGUGCGUGCCACGUGUCACUCUGUGCCAUGUGCUCUGUGCCAUGUGCUGUCCUGUGCCACAUGUGCCAUGCCAUGCCCUGUUCAUCCUGUGCCAUGUGUGCCAUGCCAUGCACUGUCCUGUGCCGCGUGUGCCAUGUGCUCUGUGUGCCACGUGUCACUCUGUGCCGUGUGCUCUGUGCUGUGUGUGCCAUCCUGUGCCGUGUGUGCCAUGUGUUCUGUGUGCCAUGUGUCACACUGUGCCGUGUUCUCUGUGCCAUGCGUGCCAUGCCAUGCCCUGUUCUGUGCCAUGUAUGCCAUGCCAUGCCCUAUUCUGUGCCAUGUGUGCCAUCCUGUGCCAUGUGUGCCAUGCCGUGCACUG
RNAcentral lists this long non-coding RNA (1220 nucleotides) under Numida meleagris (helmeted guineafowl). RNAcentral describes it as "lncRNA (ENSNMEG00000003676.1)". The record is from RNAcentral. Lineage: Eukaryota; Metazoa; Chordata; Aves; Galliformes; Numididae.